GGCUUAGAGUUUGAUCCUGGCUCAGAUUGAACGCUGGCGGAAUGCUUUACACAUGCAAGUCGGGCGGCAGCAUGGACUUCGGUCUGAUGGCGAGCGGCGAACGGGUGUGUAAUAUAUCGGAACAUAUCCGGAAGUGGGGGAUAACGUAGCGAAAGUUACGCUAAUACCGCAUAUGCCCUGAGGGGGAAAGGGGGGGAUCGCAAGACCUCUCGCUUUCGGAGUGGCCGAUAUCGGAUUAGCUAGUUGGUGAGGUAAAGGCUCACCAAGGCGACGAUCCGUAGCUGGUCUGAGAGGACGGCCAGCCACACUGGGACUGAGACACGGCUCAGACUCCUACGGGAGGCAGCAGUGGGGAAUUUUGGACAAUGGGGGCAACCCUGAUCCAGCCAUGCCGCGUGAGUGAAGAAGGCCUUCGGGUUGUAAAGCUCUUUCAGACGGAAAGAAACGGUCACGGCCAAUACCCGUGACUAAUGACGGUACCGUAAGAAGAAGCACCGGCUAACUACGUGCCAGCAGCCGCGGUAAUACGUAGGGUGCGAGCGUUAAUCGGAAUUACUGGGCGUAAAGCGUGCGCAGGCGGCUUUGCAAGACAGACGUGAAAUCCCCGGGCUUAACCUGGGAACUGCGUUUGUGACUACAAGGCUGGAGUGUAGCAGAGGGGGGUAGAAUUCCACGUGUAGCAGUGAAAUGCGUAGAGAUGUGGAGGAAUACCGAUGGCGAAGGCAGCCCCCUGGGCUAACACUGACGCUCAUGCACGAAAGCGUGGGGAGCAAACAGGAUUAGAUACCCUGGUAGUCCACGCCCUAAACGAUGUCAACUAGGUGUUGGGGAAGGAGACUUCUUUAGUACCGCAGCUAACGCGUGAAGUGACCG
This 873-nucleotide ribosomal RNA is filed under the name uncultured bacterium. Its description in RNAcentral is "bacterial SSU rRNA". It matches the Rfam family "Bacterial small subunit ribosomal RNA", at positions 1 to 871 of the family's 1533-position model. The record is from RNAcentral.